CGCCCGCCGUUGAAACUGACGGUCUUGAGUGGGCGAGAAGUAUGCGGAAUGCGUGGUGUAGCGGUGAAAUGCAUAGAUAUCACGCAGAACUCCGAUUGCGAAGGCAGCAUACUGGCGCCCAACUGACGCUGAAGCACGAAAGCGUGGGUAUCGAACAGGAUUAGAUACCCUGGUAGUCCACGCAGUAAACGAUGAAUGCCGGCUGUCCGGUCCGACUGAGGGCUGGGUGGCGAAGCGAAAGCGAUAAGCAUUCCACCUGGGGAGUACGCCGGCAACGGUGAAACUCAAAGGAAUUGACGGGGGCCCGCACAAGCGGAGGAACAUGUGGUUUAAUUCGAUGAUACGCGAGGAACCUUACCCGGGCUCAAACGCAGGAGGGAUGUUUUUGAAAGGAGGCAGCCAGCAAUGGUCUCCUGCGAGGUGCUGCAUGGUUGUCGUCAGCUCGUGCCGUGAGGUGUCGGCUUAAGUGCCAUAACGAGCGCAACCCCUACCUACAGUUGCCAUCGCGUGAUGGCGGGCACUCUGUGGGGACUGCCUGCGCAAGCAGUGAGGAAGGCGGGGAUGACGUCAAAUCAGCACGGCCCUUACGUCCGGGGCGACACACGUGUUACAAUGGCAGGUACAGCGGGAAGCCACCCGGCGACGGGGCGCGGAACCCGAAAACCUGUCUCAGUUCGGAUUGGAGUCUGCAACCCGACUCCAUGAAGCUGGAUUCGCUAGUAAUCGCGCAUCAGCCACGGCGCGGUGAAUACGUUCCCGGGCCUUGUACACACCGCCCGUCAAGCCAUGGAAGCCGGGGGUGCCUGAAGUGCGUGACCGCAAGGAGCGCCCUAGGGUAAAACCGGUGACUGGGGCUAAGUCGUAACAAGGUAGCCGUAA
This 879-nucleotide ribosomal RNA is filed under the name uncultured bacterium. Its description in RNAcentral is "bacterial SSU rRNA". It matches the Rfam family "Bacterial small subunit ribosomal RNA", at positions 618 to 1505 of the family's 1533-position model. The record is from RNAcentral.